CGGGACGGGUGAGUAAUGUCUGGGAAACUGCCUGAUGAGGGGGAGUAACUGCUGGAAACGGUAGCUAAUACCGCAUAACGUCGCAAGACCAAAGAGGGGGACCUUCGGGCCUCUUGCCAUCGGAUGUGCCCAGGUGGGAUUAGCUAGUAGGUGGGGUAACGGCUCACCUAGGCGACGAUCCCUAGCUGGUCUGAGAGGAUGACCAGCCACACUGGAACUGAGACACGGUCCAG
Molecule: ribosomal RNA, 233 nt
Filed under: uncultured bacterium
Lineage: Bacteria
Description: partial 16S ribosomal RNA
Rfam family: Bacterial small subunit ribosomal RNA
Source: RNAcentral